CCAUUGCAGCUUGAUUAGCAUCAUGUUGCUCCUUACUCUUCCUUCCUAUAGCACAAGGGAGAAAUAUAAAUAUCAUAAAGAACAAGUGAGAAUGUACACUGUAAACAAAGAACAUAUGCAUAUAAUUUAUCUUACAUCCCAAAAUUUAUCUACAAUUGAUAAAUUCCUCUCCGUCUAUCAGUAAUUGGGAAAUUAGUUUUUGUAAUAAAUAGUAAUGGGUUGAGCAAAAAAUACCCACCAUAAAACACAAAUUCAAUCAAAUGAUGGAAAGUAAUACCACAUAAACACACCCACAAAUCACAAAGUCAAUCAAUAAAAUCAUAAAUGGAGCAAGUAAAUCAUAUGUGAUACAAAGAUCACUGACCAGAAUACGUCCCGCCAACAUCAGAUGCAGGGGUUGAAUAAACAAAACUACCAAUUUCAUUUAAAAGUCGUCUGACAAAUGAGCAUAAGAAGUCAAGAACAUACCUGAGAGCUGAGACGACGGGCGAAGGCGGCGGCGGAGAGAAGGGAAGAAUAGGAUUCUAGGGCUUGCAGCAAACGAUUUAAAAUAUUAGAAGGGAAGAAUAGGAUUCGAUGUUGCACUUACUUCCUUCAAGGAAAUCGAUUUUAGCAGCUUCGAUUUUGCAGCCCAAGAUUAUCUGGAGGGGAACAUUAGAUGAGAGUUCAGUC
RNAcentral lists this long non-coding RNA (672 nucleotides) under Panax ginseng (ginseng). RNAcentral's name for it is "long non-coding RNA (PGIN_LNC016937)". The record is from RNAcentral. Lineage: Eukaryota; Viridiplantae; Streptophyta; Magnoliopsida; Apiales; Araliaceae.